GACGAACGCUGGCGGCGUGCUUAACACAUGCAAGUCGAACGGAAAGGCCCUGCUUGCAGGGUGCUCGAGUGGCGAACGGGUGAGUAACACGUGGGUGAUCUGCCCCUUACUUUGGGAUAAGCCUGGGAAACUGGGUCUAAUACUGGAUAGGACCAUGCUGUAGGUGGUGUGGUGGAAAGAUUAGUUUCGGUAAGGGAUGAGCUCGCGGCCUAUCAGCUUGUUGGUGGGGUAAUGGCCUACCAAGGCGUCGCCGGGUAGCCGGCCGGAGAGGGUGGACGGCCACAUUGGGGCUGGGGAACGGCCCAGGACCCUACGGGGGGCAGCAGUGGGGGAAAAUGCACAAUGGGCGCAAGCCUGGUGCAGCGACGGCGGGGGGGGGAUGACGGCCUUCGGGUUGUAAACUCCUUUCAGCCAUGACGAAGCCCUUGUGGUGACGGUAGUGGUAGAAGAAGCACCGGCUAACUACGUG
RNAcentral lists this ribosomal RNA (469 nucleotides) under uncultured bacterium. RNAcentral's name for it is "partial 16S ribosomal RNA". It matches the Rfam family "Bacterial small subunit ribosomal RNA", at positions 28 to 507 of the family's 1533-position model. The record is from RNAcentral.